ACGGGAGGCAGCAGUGGGGAGUAUUGCACAAUGGGCGAAAGCCUGAUGCAGCAACGCCGCGUGAGUGAAGAAGUAUUUCGGUAUGUAAAGCUCUAUCGAUGGGGAAUAAGAUGAAGGUACCCAAGUAAGAAGCCCCGGCUAACUACGUGCCAGCAGCCGCGGUAAUACGUAGGUUGCAAGCGUUGUCCGGAUUUACUGGGUGUAAAGGGCGUGUAGGCGGAGCUGCAAGUCAGAUGUGAAAUCCCGGGGCUCAACCCCGGAACUGCAUUUGAAACUGUAGCCCUUGAGUAUCGGAGAGGCAAGCGGAAUUCCUAGUGUAGCGGUGAAAUGCGUAGAUAUUAGGAGGAACACCAGUGGCGAAGGCGGCUUGCUGGACGACAACUGACGCUGAGGCGCGAAAGCGUGGGGAGCAAACAGGAUUAGAUACCCUGGUA
RNAcentral lists this ribosomal RNA (434 nucleotides) under uncultured Clostridium sp. Its description in RNAcentral is "partial 16S ribosomal RNA". It matches the Rfam family "Bacterial small subunit ribosomal RNA", at positions 341 to 792 of the family's 1533-position model. The record is from RNAcentral. Lineage: Bacteria; Bacillati; Bacillota; Clostridia; Eubacteriales; Clostridiaceae.